Molecule: non-coding RNA, 23 nt
Filed under: Cricetulus griseus (Chinese hamster)
Lineage: Eukaryota; Metazoa; Chordata; Mammalia; Rodentia; Cricetidae
Source: RNAcentral
ACGGAGCAGGCGCCAUGGUGAGG